Molecule: ribosomal RNA, 245 nt
Filed under: uncultured bacterium
Lineage: Bacteria
Description: partial 16S ribosomal RNA
Rfam family: Bacterial small subunit ribosomal RNA
Source: RNAcentral
UACGUAGGUGGCGAGCGUUGUCCGGAAUUACUGGGCGUAAAGGGAGCGUAGGCGGUCUCUUAAGUGAGAUGUGAAAUCCCCGGGCUUAACCUGGGAAUUGCAUUUCAAACUGGGAGACUAGAGUGCAGGAGAGGAAAGUGGAAUUCCAAGUGUAGCGGUGAAAUGCGUAGAGAUUUGGAGGAACACCAGUGGCGAAGGCGACUUUCUGGACUGUAACUGACGCUGAGGCUCGAGAGCGUGGGGAG